GCCGGGCAUGGUGAGUCAUGCCUGUAAUCCCAGUACUUUGGGAGGCUGAGACGGGUGGAUCACCUGAGGUCAGGAGUUUGAGACCAGCCUGGCCAACAUGGUGAAAGUCCGUCUCUU
Molecule: non-coding RNA, 117 nt
Filed under: Chlorocebus sabaeus (green monkey)
Lineage: Eukaryota; Metazoa; Chordata; Mammalia; Primates; Cercopithecidae
Source: Rfam by way of RNAcentral